CUACGGGUGGCUCCAGUGGGGAAUAUUGCACAAUGGACGAAAGUCUGAUGCAGCAACGCCGCGUGGAGGAUGACACAUUUCGGUGCGUAAACUCCUUUUAUAUAGGAAGAUAAUGACGGUACUAUAUGAAUAAGCACCGGCUAACUCCGUGCCAGCAGCCGCGGUAAUACGGAGGGUGCAAGCGUUACUCGGAAUUACUGGGCGUAAAGAGCGUGUAGGCGGGUUUGUAAGUUGGAUGUGAAAUCCUAUGGCUCAACCAUAGAACUGCAUCCAAAACUGCUUACCUAGAAUAUGGGAGAGGUAGAUGGAAUUUCUGGUGUAGGGGUAAAAUCCGUAGAGAUCAGAAGGAAUACCGAUUGCGAAGGCGAUCUACUGGAACAUUAUUGACGCUGAGACGCGAAAGCGUGGGGAGCAAACAGGAUUAGAUACCCCUGUAGUC
This 439-nucleotide ribosomal RNA is filed under the name uncultured bacterium. RNAcentral describes it as "partial 16S ribosomal RNA". It matches the Rfam family "Bacterial small subunit ribosomal RNA", at positions 339 to 795 of the family's 1533-position model. The record is from RNAcentral.